This 618-nucleotide long non-coding RNA is filed under the name Brachypodium distachyon (stiff brome). Its description in RNAcentral is "long non-coding RNA (BDIS_LNC004089)". Lineage: Eukaryota; Viridiplantae; Streptophyta; Magnoliopsida; Poales; Poaceae. The record is from RNAcentral.
AUGUUACGGGGCUGCCUAUGCUAUCCCUAUACCCUUCGUUGAUUAAUGGUGCUAUAUUGUUAUAAAUUAUUACACCCUCGUCUUUUCUUUUUUCUUCUAUUUGAUUAGUCCUGUCAUGUUUGUUUUUUUCUAUAUACCCUAAAUCUCUUGUAGAUUUAGUUAUCCGACUUUCUCUCAUUCGUUGGAAAUUUCUUAUAUUUGUUAAUCAUGUGACUUUUCUCAUGCAUUAGAAAUUUCUGAACAUUAUUGCAUUUUUUGCCUUUUCUCACAAUUACAAAUUUUUACAUGCAUUUUCUCAUACAUGUGCUCGAUAUUCUCUCACUAAAGUACGAAACACUUCUUGGUGUGGUGGUGGAGUUGUGUGGGUGCAUGGCUGCACUCAUCUUGGUUCAAAUCCUGAUGCUCAGGAUUUUGUUGUAUGGGUCUCCCUCAUAGUCUUUUCAAAAAAAAAAGAUUUUCUCUCAACAAACACUCUUUUGUCAAAACAUAUCCACAUUGGAUAUUUUUCAUCAAAAUAUGUACAAAUUUUUGCAACAAAAUUUCUCGGAGAAAUCAUUGUACUGUAUUUUUUUUUCAAAAUAUGAAGAACCACAUGUGUUCUUCUGUCAAGAUCAGCUU